Molecule: ribosomal RNA, 497 nt
Filed under: uncultured bacterium
Lineage: Bacteria
Description: partial 16S ribosomal RNA
Rfam family: Bacterial small subunit ribosomal RNA
Source: RNAcentral
GAUGAACGCUGGCGGCGUGCCUAAUACAUGCAAGUCGAGCGAACAGACGAGGAGCUUGCUCCUCUGACGUUAGCGGCGGACGGGUGAGUAACACGUGGAUAACCUACCUAUAAGACUGGGAUAACUUCGGGAAACCGGAGCUAAUACCGGAUAAUAUAUUGAACCGCAUGGUUCAAUAGUGAAAGACGGUUUUGCUGUCACUUAUAGAUGGAUCCGCGCCGCAUUAGCUAGUUGGUAAGGUAACGGCUUACCAAGGCAACGAUGCGUAGCCGACCUGAGAGGGUGAUCGGCCACACUGGAACUGAGACACGGUCCAGACUCCUACGGGAGGCAGCAGUAGGGAAUCUUCCGCAAUGGGCGAAAGCCUGACGGAGCAACGCCGCGUGAGUGAUGAAGGUCUUCGGAUCGUAAAACUCGGUUAUUAGGGAAGAACAAAUGUGUAAGUAACUAUGCACGUCUUGACGGUACCUAGUCAGAAAGCCACGGCUAACUACGUG